This is a long non-coding RNA of Oncorhynchus tshawytscha (Chinook salmon), 474 nucleotides long. Lineage: Eukaryota; Metazoa; Chordata; Actinopteri; Salmoniformes; Salmonidae. The record is from Ensembl.
CCUCUGUUCUAUCCUGCCGGUGCAUCGUAUAACCAGCCUCUGUUCUAUCCUGCCGGUGCAUCGUAUAACCAGCCACGCCUCUGUUCUAUCCUGCCGGUGCAUCGUAUAACCAGCCUCUGUUCUAUCCUGCCGGUGCAUCGUAUAACCAGCCUCUCCUCUGUUCUAUCCUGCCGGUGCAUCGUAUAACCAGCCUCUGUUCUGUCCUGCCGGUGCAUCGUAUAACCAGCCUCUGUUCUGUCCUGCCGGUGCAUCGUAUAACCAGCCUCUCCUCUGUUCUGUCCUGCCGGUGCAUCGUAUAACCAGCCACGCCUCUGUUCUGUCCUGCCGGUGCAUCGUAUAACCAGCCUCUGUUCUGUCCUGCCGGUGCAUCGUAUAACCAGCCUCUCCUCUGUUCUGUCCUGCCGGUGCAUCGUAUAACCAGCCUCUGUUCUGUCCUGCCGGUGCAUCGUAUAACCAGCCACGCCUCUGUUCUGU